RNAcentral lists this ribosomal RNA (497 nucleotides) under uncultured bacterium. RNAcentral describes it as "partial 16S ribosomal RNA". It matches the Rfam family "Bacterial small subunit ribosomal RNA", at positions 28 to 507 of the family's 1533-position model. The record is from RNAcentral.
GAUGAACGCUGGCGGCGUGCCUAAUACAUGCAAGUCGAGCGAACGGACGAGAAGCUUGCUUCUCUGAUGUUAGCGGCGGACGGGUGAGUAACACGUGGAUAACCUACCUAUAAGACUGGGAUAACUUCGGGAAACCGGAGCUAAUACCGGAUGAUAUUUUGAACCGCAUGGUUCAAAAGUGAAAGACGGUCUUGCUGUCACUUAUAGAUGGAUCCGCGCUGCAUUAGCUAGUUGGUAAGGUAACGGCUUACCAAGGCAACGAUGCAUAGCCGACCUGAGAGGGGGGUCGGCCACACUGGAACUGAGACACGGGCCAGACUCCUAAGGGAGGCAGCAGUAGGGAAUCUUCCGCAAUGGGGGAAAGCCUGACGGAGCAAAGGCGCGUGAGUGAUGAAGGUCUUCGGAUCGUAAAAAUCUGUUAUUAGGGAAGAACAUAUGUGUAAGUAACUGUGCACAUCUUGACGGUACCUAAUCAGAAAGCCACGGCUAACUACGUG